UCGCGUAGGGAUGUAUCGUUGGGUGGGGGAUAGCCUUGGGGAAACUGGGGGUAAUACCGCAUGACGCCUGUGGGCCAAAGGCAGUGAUGCCGCCUGACGAGCAGCCUGCGUCCGAUUAGCUAGUUGGUUGGGUAAUGGCUGACCAAGGCUGUGAUCGGUAGCUGGUCUGAGAGGAUGAUCAGCCACACUGGGACUGAGACACGGCCCAG
RNAcentral lists this ribosomal RNA (209 nucleotides) under uncultured bacterium. Its description in RNAcentral is "partial 16S ribosomal RNA". It matches the Rfam family "Bacterial small subunit ribosomal RNA", at positions 113 to 334 of the family's 1533-position model. The record is from RNAcentral.